This is an RNA transcript of Pyrus x bretschneideri (Chinese white pear), 1531 nucleotides long. RefSeq lists it as uncharacterized. The record is from RefSeq and is a predicted model, not a curated record. The transcript has 4 exons. Lineage: Eukaryota; Viridiplantae; Streptophyta; Magnoliopsida; Rosales; Rosaceae.
AGCAAACUCUGUCAUUCACCUUCGAACCCACGACUCGCUGCAAACUCUUCUCAUUUGAAACCUGCCGCCCACCAUUUCCCCAUUACUUCGAGUUCACGUCAAAAUUCAUCUCAAAUUCUCCCCAAAUCCAAAUCACCAACUCCCUCACCAAAAAUUUGAUCCCCAAAAAAAAAAUAUUUUUUGUAAUUUACUCGAAUUAUCAGCCGCAUUGCUCGAUCAGAAUCCGGAAAAGCUCGAAGCUUUCUGCCCCCAGUUCGAUCCCGAAACGAUGUCGUUCGACGAGGAGGAGGAGGCGUUCGAGCACACGCUGCUCGUGGUCCGGGAGGUCGCAGUCUUCAAAAUCCCGCCGCGAAGCACUUCCGGCGGAUACAAGUGCGGCGAGUGGCUCCAGUCUGAUAAGAUCUGGUCCGGUCGGCUCCGGGUCGUGUCGUGCAAGGACCGGUGCGAGAUCCGGCUGGAGGAUCCGAACUCCAGCGAGCUCUUUGCCGCCUGCUUUGUCCACCCGGGCCAGCGCGAGACCUCCGUCGAGACCGUCCUCGACUCGUCGCGCUACUUCGUACUCAAGAUCGAGGACGGCACCGGGAAGCACGCCUUCAUCGGGCUAGGGUUCGCGGAGCGGAACGAAGCGUUCGAUUUCAACGUGGCGCUUUCGGACCACGAGAAGUACGUGAAGAGGGAGCACGAGAAGGAGAGCAACGGCGGCGAAACCAGCGACGAGGGCCACAUCGAUAUUCAUCCCGCCCUCAAUCAUAGAUUGAAAGAAGGUGAAACGAUAAGGAUAAAUGUGAAGCCAAAGCCGACGAGUGGGGCCGGGAUGCUGUCCGCCGCCGGGCUAUCCGGGACGACGAAGGCAAAACCUAUUAGUUUGGGGUUGGCUCCGCCACCUGGGUCCGGGAAAGUUAGGUCGGCUCUGCCACCACCUCCCAAUGACCCUGUUGCUGCUAGAAUCAGCUCUGGUGUUGUCAAGUCGCCGGAUAACACAAGACGUGGAUCGGACCCGUUAUCGGAUCUUUCCCAGAUUGAGGCCUUACCUGCCCUUCAAUUCCUGAUUGACCUGAAAAGUUGGUUCUGAGUCCCAUUCUGAGAACGGCAAGCUCAGAAUGAGUAGCUAGCCAACAUUAGUUUAUGUCCAUACCUUAUUGUCAUGUGCGUUCAAAGUUUGAACAUGUAGGAAGUGAUUGCAAUCAGAAAGCUUAGUUCUAGCAAAUUUGAGGAAUCUUCCCCCCGCGACCGGAUCAGGCUCGACAAAGACAAGUGCAGCUGGAUGGGCGGCUUUCUGAUUGUGUGAGCAUCUGUUAAUUAUCAUCGAGGUCUUCAUUUGAUUUUUUUUCUACCUUUUUUGAGGAAAAAGGAGUGAGAGGAAGGAAUAUGUGAGAAAGGAAAGAAAGCACGAGGUACCAAAUACUUCCAUAUGUGUGUUUCCCCGCAAUAUAUUUUCGAGCUUCUUUUGUUCAUUGUGCCGGCUCUUUGUCAACUUACAGUUUCAUGUUUUUGCUUCUAUAUAAUAGAGAAAUGUGCCUUAUCUCUUUCA